This is a non-coding RNA of Nemania sp. NC0429, 131 nucleotides long. The record is from the annotation of a GenBank genome assembly. NCBI's taxonomy places the organism in Eukaryota, Fungi, Ascomycota, Sordariomycetes, Xylariales, Xylariaceae.
GGUGAGAUGGCCGAGUGGUUAUGGCGCUGCGUUCAGGAAUUUUCUGUGGUCGUUUCUCGAUUCAGAAUUGUUAACGCUGAGCAAAUUUCGCAGUGGAGCAAUCCGCGUGGGUUCGAGUCCCACUCUCAUCA